RNAcentral lists this transfer RNA (68 nucleotides) under Porcellio dilatatus petiti. Its description in RNAcentral is "tRNA-Asn". The record is from RNAcentral. Lineage: Eukaryota; Metazoa; Arthropoda; Malacostraca; Isopoda; Porcellionidae.
AGUGCCAGCAGUCGCGGUUAGACUAGAAGGAGGUAGCCUAAACUAAAAAAAGGGCACAGUUUAAAAUA